GGCACUUGCACGCGUUGCGGUGCAACGAUGGUUAAAGA
Regulatory RNA element from Slackia heliotrinireducens DSM 20476, 38 nucleotides. It matches the Rfam family "Selenocysteine insertion sequence 4". The record is from Rfam. Lineage: Bacteria; Bacillati; Actinomycetota; Coriobacteriia; Eggerthellales; Eggerthellaceae.